Non-coding RNA from Acanthosepion pharaonis, 111 nucleotides. The record is from the annotation of a GenBank genome assembly. Lineage: Eukaryota; Metazoa; Mollusca; Cephalopoda; Sepiida; Sepiidae.
UAUGGCCACAUCACACUGAAACACCACCUCCCAUAUGAUCUCUGAAGUUAAGCAAUAUCAAGUCUAGUCAUUACCUAGAUGGGUGACCACUUGGGAAUACCAGGUGCUAUA